UUCCUACGGGGGGCAGCAGUGGGGAAUAUUGCACAAUGGGCGAAAGCCUGAUGCAGCAACGCCGCGUGCGGGAUGAAGGCCUUCGGGUUGUAAACCGCUUUCACCAGGGACGAAGUUGACGGUACCUGGAGAAGAAGCACCGGCUAACUACGUGCCAGCAGCCGCGGUGAUACGUAGGGUGCGAGCGUUGUCCGGAUUUAUUGGGCGUAAAGAGCUCGUAGGCGGUUUGUUGCGUCGGAAGUGAAAACCCAGGGCUUAACUUUGGGCUUGCUUUCGAUACGGGCAGACUUGAGGAAGGUAGGGGAGAACGGAAUUCCUGGUGGAGCGGUGGAAUGCGCAGAUAUCAGGAGGAACACCGGUGGCGAAGGCGGUUCUCUGGACCUUUCCUGACGCUGAGGAGCGAAAGCGUGGGGAGCAAACAGGCUUAGAUACCCCGGUAGUCCA
This 444-nucleotide ribosomal RNA is filed under the name uncultured Propionicimonas sp. RNAcentral describes it as "bacterial SSU rRNA". It matches the Rfam family "Bacterial small subunit ribosomal RNA", at positions 336 to 797 of the family's 1533-position model. The record is from RNAcentral. Lineage: Bacteria; Bacillati; Actinomycetota; Actinomycetes; Propionibacteriales; Nocardioidaceae.